This is a long non-coding RNA of Herpailurus yagouaroundi (jaguarundi), 179 nucleotides long. RefSeq lists it as uncharacterized. The transcript is spliced from 3 exons. The record is from RefSeq and is a predicted model, not a curated record. Lineage: Eukaryota; Metazoa; Chordata; Mammalia; Carnivora; Felidae.
GUGGAGACCACCAAGCCCUCCAAACAGAGCAACAAGUACUCGGCCAGCAGUUUCCUGAGCCUGUCACCUGACCAGUGGAAAUCUAGAAGCAGCUACACCUGCCAGGUCACGCAUGAGGGGAGCACCUGGAGAAGAGAGUGGUCCCUGCAGAGUGCUCUUAGGUUCCUGAGGCUUCCAGG